CAUGGAACCUAAAGUUCACCCACCCCAAGUCAAAAAAAUUCACAUUUCUUUUUGAUUAGAAACUAAAGUGUCUAGCUGUUGCAUAGCACAUUGGCAUUUCAAACCUUUUUGAUUUCUCCCUGUAAUUGGUUAAAUUGCUGUAAAGCCCGGACAGUGGGGGUCAUUGUUAUUUUUCAUUAUGUGAAAAACUGAAUCUGGAGGUAUUUAGAAAAAACUUUACCCAAAACCACUUACUGGAGCUGUGCCGGCCAAGUUCCUACACCAAGUAACGUGACGGAGAUCUUAACUUAUUUGCUGGUCCAAAAAAGGUAUGAAACUUAACUAUACCUCUGCCACCUCCUCCCCCUUCCACACACACUUGGACGCACUGCCCAUUGCCGUCAUCUUUGGUUUCUGGGGGAGGUGUGGGGAAGGCUAAAUGAAUGGUGUAGUAAAUAAUUUCCCUAAGUAUUGGCAUUUUAAAAGUGGUCACGAGGCAGAGGAAUCCCAAAGGGUUAAUAUCUAUUUGGAAGGAUAUCCCCAGACUUCAGAAACCUAGCAGAAGUGACAGGGACCUUAUACAGAACUUAAGGUAUAGCCUGGCUUCUUGAAUCCUUAAGAGUGCAGUCCUUUGCCCUUUGACUCAUCUGGGGUCUUCUCUCUGAAUAGUUACUAAUUAUUUGGAAUUUUAAUUGGCUAUAAAUUGUCAGUUUGAUUUUUCUACUGCAAACUCAUGUUUGGAUUAAAUGUGUUUCCAUACUUCUUAUUUGUAUGGAUACUGGAGAGAGAGUGAAUUAUAAUGGGAACUUAAGCACAAGCCUAUAUGGAUUAUGGAUCUUUUAUGCAGGAAAAAUCAAUUUUCUUAGGACAUGAAAAAGCACCAUGUACACAAAGGUUAAUGGGCUCAAAUUUUAUUUUCUUUGAAAAUAACUUCAAAUUGUAAUUAUGAUAUGUGCUCACAAAGUAGGUCUAGAGACUAUAAAAAGUGCUAUGCUAUAAAUGUUUAACAAAUGUCUCUCACAAAGAAGGGAAAACAUCCUGAUAUAUAACAUUUGCCAAUUUCUAAGGUAAAAUUACUGCCAUCUCAUGGCUAAUUUUAAACAACAGAUGUGACAUCACUGAAUGCAAAUUUAGGAAGAGAUGUGCACGAUCAGCUCAUACACUGAAUGAGUUUCAAAAUCACUGGCAAUCUGAUUACGUAGAGUUAGGACCGCUGCUAACAUUUCUGUGUUUUUCCAACUAGUCUUUCUAUGAAAAUAUCCAUAUUGGUUCUAAUGAAGAAUCUUGUCAUUGGUUUUUGAUCCAGUUUCACUGAUUCCAUCUGGGCUAAGUGCCUACCUGUCUCAAGAUCCUUAUGGAGAUGUCUUCUGGGAGAGAUCACGUGUACAUGUCCCCCUCCUCAGUGUGACUAAAUGGAUCAGAGGCUUUCCUCCUCUACAGGACACUGGCCAGAAGACUACUGGAGAGUUUGAACAGGGGACCCUGCUGUCUCCCCUGUGACAUCGGCCCAGAACAAGUCCAGCUGCUGAUUGCCUGGCGGGACCCAAAAGUGCGAGUGUCACAGAAAGCAUUGAGGACUAGGCCUACAGCUCUCCCCUGUGAUGAGGCGCUGAGGGUUGGCAGCCCUUUGGCCCUUGAGGAAGAUGAGAAAGUGCGUGACUCAGAAUGUCAGAACAGGCAGUGCCCUUUGAAUCACAACAUCGACUUUGCCUUCUUACAAACAGGGCCGCUGAGCACAAGAGCAAGCAAGUGCCUUCCUCACUGUCAUAGAGCGUCUCGUGAGUGGCAGAGUCAAGACAACAACCCAGGUCCCUGGACUCCCAGGUUGGUGCUGUGCUCUUUCCACUCUCUCCUGCUGCCCUCUCAGACUCAGCAACCAAAUGUGUGUCUGGAAGUGCACUGCUUCGUAUGUCAGCCAGACUGACC
RNAcentral lists this long non-coding RNA (1905 nucleotides) under Equus caballus (horse). RNAcentral's name for it is "lncRNA (ENSECAG00000035227.3)". The record is from RNAcentral. Lineage: Eukaryota; Metazoa; Chordata; Mammalia; Perissodactyla; Equidae.